Fukomys damarensis (Damara mole-rat) is the source of this 480-nucleotide long non-coding RNA. RefSeq lists it as uncharacterized. The transcript has 3 exons. NCBI's taxonomy places the organism in Eukaryota, Metazoa, Chordata, Mammalia, Rodentia, Bathyergidae. The record is from RefSeq and is a predicted model, not a curated record.
GUAGGAUUACAGGUAUGCACCACUAUGCCCAGUCUUGAUAUAUUUUUAUUUACUCUGUUCUUGAGAUUCCUAGAACAAGAGUUGCUCACUUGGGAAAGGUUUUGUAAAAGGGCCCAAGACGUCAGGAAAGAAGGGAUGAAAAUUUGAAGGCAUUCUUUUUGAAACGAAGAUUGAGAUGUCUUGCUGAAGAUCCGCUGAUACAAAAGGACACUAAUGAGGGACAAUAAGGAAAGAAGAGGAAUUCUGUAGUGGACAGCAGCGGGGAUUAGCUGCCCCUGACAGAGAUUAGUUCUGGUAAAGCAUGCAUCCAGUCAACAUUAACUCCCCAAGCCUAAUUAAUGUACAUGAGGGAAGGAAAACACAGAGCGAGCAAUGGAAUACACAGAUGGCUAAUGAAAAUGGAGGGAAUAUCAACAUCAUUGGUAAUGAUAUACAGAGUAAAAUAAAUGAGAAUGUCAGUAUUCGUAUCUCAAAUUUACC